GAAACUUCAACUAACAAAUGACUGGAAAUUUACAAGAUUCAUGAUUCAAACAGAGUACUUACAGCUUCAAAUACCAGAAAUUAUAUACUCAAUUCACACGAAAAUAAUUAAUUUCCAAAAAAAGAAACAAAGAUACACGUACCAUAAUUUUAUUUCCGGCUAUCAUUAUCAUAGUCGAGAAUUUCAUCACGAGUAACAGAUCUAGAGUGCUGCACUAUAGACCGUCCG
RNAcentral lists this unclassified non-coding RNA (228 nucleotides) under Hevea brasiliensis (rubber tree). Lineage: Eukaryota; Viridiplantae; Streptophyta; Magnoliopsida; Malpighiales; Euphorbiaceae. The record is from RNAcentral.